Molecule: RNA transcript, 3466 nt
Organism: Chenopodium quinoa (quinoa)
Lineage: Eukaryota; Viridiplantae; Streptophyta; Magnoliopsida; Caryophyllales; Amaranthaceae
Gene name: cleavage and polyadenylation specificity factor subunit 6-like
Exons: 3
Source: RefSeq, a predicted model, not a curated record
UAACUUAAUAGAAUUAAAAUAGAAACAUGAAAAAUAUUCAAAAGACAGAGAGAAUACACUAUAUACCAAGUAUCGAGUAAAAUAUACUUACAGAGUAUGAAUCUACGUAUCCUUAUACGGAUUAAGCUUAUCUUUUUAGGCCCCGUAGAAAGACAAUGACAAAAUGAAAAGAGAUUUGACUGUAGAUAUUCUCCAAAAAAAAGAAAAAAAAAAAGACCCGUAAAAAAGAAAACGAAAAAAUAAACAUUAGGAAGAAACUAGCGAAAGAGAAAGCCCACCAAUUGAUUUGUCUGACUCAGGGAGCUGCUCAGAGCCUGACUACCGGAGACACCCAAUAACAUACAGAAAACGAGUACAUAAAUUGAUUAAUCAAAAGGUAUAAUCGUUUCUGUUGAUUUCUUAUAUUGAUAAUCCUUUUCAAUCAUAAUUGGUAGGAUACCAUCUUAGCAUUGUUGCUAUAAAAUAGACUUAGAUGGAUCCAGCUGCUGAAGAACAAAUAGAUUAUGGUGAUGAGGAAUAUGGAGGUGCUCAAAAGCUACAAUAUCAGGGUAGUGGAGCUAUUCCAGCUCUAGCAGACGAGGAGAUGAUAGGAGAAGAUGAUGAUUAUGAGGAUCUUUAUGAUGGGGUCAAUGUUGGAGAGGGUUUCUUGCAAUUUCAUCGGUCUGAGGCACAAGGUCCUCCUAAUAAUAAUGUAGGAAAUGGUGGUAUCCAAACUCAAACCUUUAAUACCCCUCAACCUAGACAAGAAGCUGGUGUAUCUCAUAAUCUGGGAAAUUCCGGGGUUGCUUCUGAUGGAAGACUCCAAAAUGCAAGUCUUGGUGUUAAAGAACUAGAAAUGGGAUCUUCUAAUCAUAUUAGUGGGGCUUUGGGGCCAGAAAAGAGAAUUCAUGAUACUGCUUCUGGGAAUAUGGAGUUCCAAGGUUCGGCCCCUAUUGCUCAAAAUACUACAGGUAGUGUUCCAGACAUUAGUAAAGCUACUAAUCACGUAAGUGGGGGUCCAAGUGCUUCCCAAGGGAUUGUAUAUAAUCAGAUGUCGGCAAAUGCAAACAUGAAUAUGGACCAUAUGAUGGUCAAUGACAAUAUCAUCCGGCCACAAAUGGAUAACGGUCCAACCAUGUUGUUUGUGGGUGAGAUACAUUGGUGGACCACUGAUGCGGAGCUUGAAAGUGUAUUGUCUCAUUAUGGAAAGGUCAAGGACAUAAAAUUUUUUGACGAAAGAGCAAGUGGAAAAUCAAAAGGUUACUGCCAAGUUGAGUUUUAUGAUGCUUCUGCUGCUGCUGCAUGCAAAGAGGGAAUGAAUGGACACAAUUUCAAUGGACGGGCAUGUGUAGUGGCUUUUGCUUCACCCCAAACUUUGAAGCAGAUGGGAGCUGCCUAUGCAAGCAAGAACCCACAGCAGCCUCAGUCUCAGCCUCAGGGAAGAAGAAAUGUAACUGAGGGCGCUGGAAGAGGUGGUGGGAUGAACUUAUCAGCUGGUGAGGGAGGAAGAGGUUUUGGAAGAGGUGGAUGGGGACGAGGAGGACAGGGUGCUGCUGCUAGGGGUCCUGGUGGUUCAGGGCCAAGGGGAAGAGGACCUAUGGGCCCCAAGAAUGGCCUUGGGAAUGUUGGUGGAAUGGGUGGUGCUGCUAUGGGCAAUUUCGGGCAAGGUCUUGGAAACCCUGGAUUUGGGGGUCCAGGUGGAGGAAUGAUGCAUCCUCAAGCCAUGAUGGGUCCUGGAUUUGAUCCAUCAUAUAUGGGCCGAGGAGCUGGGUAUGGAGGCUUUUCUGGCCCUGCCUUUCCUGGAAUGAUGCCUCCCUUUCCAUCUGUUAAUCCUAUGGGUAUUUCUGGUGUGGCUCCUCAUGUUAACCCUGCCUUUUUUGGCCGUGGUAUGACACCAAAUGGAAUGGGGAUGAUGGGUAGCACUGGAAUGGAAGGACAUCCCGGGGGGAUGUGGGCUGAUCCUGCUAUGGGUGGAUGGGCUGGGGAAGAACAUGGGCAGAAGACAAGAGAGUCAAGUUAUGGUGGUGAUGAUGGUGCUUCUGACUAUAGAUUUGGGGAGGAAAACCCUGAAAAGAGUUCUAGGACAAAUGCUGCCCCUCGAGAAAAGGAAAGAGCUUCUGAGCGUGACUGGUCUGGAAACUCUGAGAGGAGAUAUCGUGAUGAGAGAGAGCAAGAUUAUGAUAGACCUGAUAGAGAACGCAGGCAUAGAAAAGACAAGGAUGGCUAUAGAGAUCAUCGUCGAAAGGAACGUGAUUCGGGUUAUGAGGAUGAUUGGGACAGGGGACAGUCUUCGUCAAGAUCUAGGAGCAGGUCCCGGGCUAUUCCAGAAGAUGGUCACAGGUCCAGGUCAAGGGAUGUUGAUUAUGGGAAGAGGAGACGUGCUCCAUCAGAGUAAUUGGUUAUCUUCACAUGUAUGUACUGUCAAAUGUGGCCGUCAUCAAUCUUCAUGUUUGCUAUCACAUGGUCUCCUUCUUACUGCAGUUUUCUGAUUUUGGCCAAGCUUUCUAGGUUCCUGCUUGUUGCAGCUGUUCUGGAUUUUCACUACCAAAAGGAGCACUCUUUGCUUCGUGAUUGAAUCAGCCUAUGUUGAUUAUCCAGAGAAAGAUGUUUUAUGGCUGCCUGCAGUAAAUUCCUCUAUAAUGGCCUUCCAUGUUUUCAGAGGAGCUUUUAUGAUUGUGCUUGAAGAAUGUGUCUUUAAGGGAAAAUAUUAUUAACUGUUUAUAACUAAAAUGCUACAGAUUUGCAAUCAAAUUUGUGAAGUGUAAUCAUUUUCUUGUAACUUUUAAUGUACUCUUGUAUGGCUGCUAUUAGUGCACGUCACUUUGUAUCUGUAGAUAUAACUUAGGAGAGUCAUAGCUUUUUGUUGUAAAUGAUUCCUGUAAGGCUUAACAACUUGUUUCUGUAAACAAGGGUGGCUAUUUUUCAAGAACCACCCUUCUGAUGUAUACUGGUGCUUCUAAAUUUUGUAAACUUGGGUGACACCAGUACACAUUGAUGACCAAAUUCGAGAUAGCAGCAUAUUCCAGAGGCAGUGUAGCUUGCAUGGGUUAAUUUUUCAUUUAACCCAUGUAAAGAAGUCUGGUUCUUGGCUUUUAGUCUGACCUGCCUUUCUUGCGCUUGGAGCAGGUCUUAUGCAUAUUAAUUGUAGUUUCUCAUUUUUCUUUUUAGGAUAGAGUGAUAGACUAGCUUGUAAAUUUACUGAUGCAGUUUAGUGAGGAUUUUUUUUUAUUUUUUUUAUACCCUCACUUCAGCUGUUAGCAGUUUACCACACAACAGAAACUAGGUUUUUAUUUUAUUUUAUUUGAAACAAAACUAGGUUAUUCUUCAUCUUUUGUACAUAGGAUUCACUUUAUUUUUGAAUAGUUCUGUAAAAUUGUGUACAGGUAUAUUCUUUGUACCGACAUUUUAAACAUUGGCGGGCCUGGAGACAUGAAAUAUUUCAUCUAAUUUGUCUAUAUAAUCCAUUCCAAGUAGUAUUAGAUUGGAA